UGGCUCAGUUGGUAGAGCAUGGUGUUUGCAACGCCAGCAUGGUGUUUGCAACGCCAGGGUUGUGGGUUCGAUUCCCAU
Salmo salar (Atlantic salmon) is the source of this 78-nucleotide non-coding RNA. Lineage: Eukaryota; Metazoa; Chordata; Actinopteri; Salmoniformes; Salmonidae. The record is from Rfam.